UAAAGCGCGCGUAGGUGGUUUGUUAAGUUGGAUGUGAAAGCCCUGGGCUCAACCUAGGAACUGCAUCCAAAACUAACUCACUAGAGUACGAUAGAGGGAGGUAGAAUUCAUAGUGUAGCGGUGGAAUGCGUAGAUAUUAUGAAGAAUACCCAGUGGCGAAGGCGGCCUCCUGGAUCUGUACUGACACUGAGGUGCGAAAGCGUGGGUAGCGAACAGGAUUAGAUACCCUGGUAGUCCACGCCGUAAACGAUGACAACUAGCUGUUAGGAGACUAUGUCUUUUAGUGGCGCAGCUAACGUUUUAAGUUGUCCGCCUGGGGAGUACGGCCGCAAGGCUAAAACUCAAAUGAAUUGACGGGGACCCGCACAAGCAGUGGAUCAUGUGGUUUAAUUCGAUGCAACGCGAAAAACCUUACCUACUCUUGACAUACUUGGAAGCUCUUGUAAUGAGAGUGUGCUUUUAAGAACCAAGAUACAGGUGCUGCAUGGCUGUCGUCAGCUCGUGUCGUGAGAUGUUCCGUUAAGUCGGAUAACGAGCGCAACCCUUACCCUUAUUUGCCAGCGAUUCGGUCGGGAACUAUAAGGGGACUGCCGGUGAUAAACCGGAGGAAGGUGAGGACGACGUCAAGUCAUCAUGGCCCUUACGAGUAGGGCUACACACGUGAUACAAUGGGAGAGACAGACGGACGCUAAGCCGCGAGGUGGUGCUAAUCCUAGAAACUCUCUCGUAGUCCGGAUUGGAGUCUGCAACUCGACUCCAUGAAGUUGGAAUUGCUAGUAAUCGCGGAUCAGCAUGCCGCGGUGAAUACGUUCUCGGGUCUUGUACACACCGCCCGUCACACCAUGGAAGUGGAUUGCACCAGAAGUAGAUAGUCUAACCUUAGGGAAGGCGUUUACCACGGUGUGCUUCAUGACUGGGGUGAAGUCGUAACAAGGUAACCAAGGGC
This 946-nucleotide ribosomal RNA is filed under the name uncultured bacterium. RNAcentral's name for it is "bacterial SSU rRNA". It matches the Rfam family "Bacterial small subunit ribosomal RNA", at positions 561 to 1507 of the family's 1533-position model. The record is from RNAcentral.